AAGCAAAGAGAAAAAUCUCUCUCUACACCAAAGAGAUGAUUGGAGAAGAAAAGAAAGAAAAAUUGAAGCAAGCUUGGAGAAAAUUAGAGUAGCUUGAAGUUGAAGCUCUCUCUAAUGGUGGAAGCAAGCUUUCCAAUAGUGGAUUUAGCUUGAUGUGAAUGGUGGUCUAAGGUGAGAUCUCAUAAUUUAAGCUAGGAUUUGGUUUAAUCCUUAAUGCUUAGUGUUCCAAUAGCCUCUAAUGUGUUGAUUAGCAUGUUAAAUCCAUUUAAUUUGGAUUAAUUGGAGCAUGUGUAGAGGCUAGGUUUAUAAUGAUAGAUCUUAAGAGCUUUAAUUGUAUGUUCUAAGAAUGGAUUUAGAGGAAUCCUUAGAUGCUAAAUGGAUAACUAUUGCAUGAAUUAAGGGAUCAUAUGAUGAAUUCUUGCAAUAGUGUAUCUUAAGGCUCAAAAAUGAGAUUUUGUAAAAUAGUAGGGCUUGAUCUCAUUUGACCCUCCGUAAACCUAAUUGCUAGGUAAACGAACGCGUUGGCGAAGUCGGUUCGGCGAUUCGUCGAGCCGUUGCAAAGUUAUUAAAGAAACGGAUGUUUAGGCUUCGUUUCCGCCUGGAAGGCCGAGGCGACUUCCAAAAAUCAUGAGGUUGGAUCUGAAGCAUCGUGGUAGCAUGCCGAAGAGCUUCUGCACUUAAAACUGCGAAGCGGACGCUCUUGUAGCGCAACUGUAAGAUUGGGCCCUUAGCGGGUGCUGAGUGUCGCAGGUAGCGAACCGGGCGGCUAAAAAUCCCGAGAAAUUUAUCAUAGCACCUUAGAGGACCUACGAGGUGGGUGGUGCUUUCCAAACUCAUUGAAAUUCUCUCUAUGCCUAAUGUGUCAUUCUUUGAGCAUAUGUUCUAUAUAUUGUUGCAUGCAUUUUAGGGUAAAGUAAUGAUAAAAUGUGAUGAUUGCAUGAUUGUGAGCACAACUUGCAUAAUGAGAUGGUUGAGAACCUAAUAAUGUCAAAACCCUAUGUGUAUGCAUGAUAUGUAAUGUGAGCACCCAAAGUGAGCAUGAAAGAACAGUGUGACACUGUGAGCAUAGAUCGAGUGGCAUCUAAAUAAUGUAAAGUAAAGUGACACUAGAGAUUAGUGUGAGGCAAAAGAAUUGAUGUGAUGUAAAGAUAAUGAUGACGAUCGCUAAAGUUAAUGCAAAGAUGUGGCAUAAAGAACAAAGAGUAAAGUUAGAGUAAAGUGGGGCAAUAAGAACAAGAAAUGUAACGAACAAGAUUGCUAGAGUUAGCAAGAGUAAAAGAAAUGUAAAGAGCAUGUGAUUGCUUGAGUUUGCAACAUAAAGUGAUGUAAAGGACACUAGAGCUAGUGUAAAGUCAAGAUUGAACUUAUAAUCCUUUGAGUUAAGGAUAUGAUCAUACUUGCUGUUGAGUUCCGUGCUCGAGGGCGGUCGCUCCCCCUCGGGCGAUGCGCUCCGGAGUUAUGCAUCACGGGUUGGAGUAGACCGGUAAGGACGGUCCUAGCUGGUGAGUUCCUGCGAUGAUGGACUUAAUGUGAAGCAAGUUUAAUGUGGCGAAACCCCCGGGUUAGCCUUGAGAUUAAAGAAUAAAGAAUAAAGAACAAAGAGCAAAGAACAAAGAACAAAGUGUAAAGAUAAAGAACGAAAGAACUUGCAUAAUCUGCAUAUGUUAAUGUUCAGCAUAUUCCUUGCUUAUUGUUCAGGCAUAUUAGCAUCAUGUUGUAGAUUGGUUACUAUAUUUCAGCUUAUCCUUUCUAUUAUGCUUGAGUUAGUCCUAGUGGAAAAGUCGGUGAUGUUGGGGCCGAACCCACUGGGAACUUUGUUGUAGUUCUCACCCCACUAUUCCACAGUGCCGGGACCGAGCGAGCCGGCGAGCGACCGCGGUAAAGGUAUCGCACCGUAGUCAGAGGCCACCGGAGUUGGGUUACAUUUUGUUAGUAGUUUACCCCUUUUAUCAUCUUUGUAUUUGAUGAUUUAAGAUGUUGAUGUAUAAAGCAAAGUAAAGAAAAGAAUGUAAUGUUCAUUUUGAGGUAAAUGUGAUGUAAAAGAAAUGAUGAAAGAAUGUAAAGAUUUUGGAUGUACAAGUUGGAUAGAUACAACGUAUGUGAUCAAAAUGAAUCAUAGUACUAGUUGAAUGUUUAGUUUUUCUUUCUUUCACUAAUGGCUAUUGCUUACCCUCGUGUAAGCCGUUUGUGCAUGUUUCCGCUAGUGCAUUUCAAUUCUCUUGAAAUUGUACGCGUGAUGAGCCUUGGGCGGAUAGGGGAAACUCUGUCCGUUCGGCGUCUGUUCGACGUGCUCGGGCCGGCCCAAAUUGGUAUCGGCUCCGGGGCGUGACAGGUCUCUCUCUGGUGGGACCGGUCUCUCGGGGACCGGUCUCUCAGGCAGGGACCGGUUCCCGAGAGCUAAUUCCUCAGGACUUAGCCAAUUUUUCGGCUGUCUCACUUCAUACGCGUUCGGGGACCGGUCUCUC
RNAcentral lists this long non-coding RNA (2465 nucleotides) under Ananas comosus (pineapple). Its description in RNAcentral is "long non-coding RNA (ACOM_LNC044419)". The record is from RNAcentral. Lineage: Eukaryota; Viridiplantae; Streptophyta; Magnoliopsida; Poales; Bromeliaceae.